This is a long non-coding RNA of Balaenoptera musculus (blue whale), 638 nucleotides long. RefSeq lists it as uncharacterized. The transcript has 5 exons. The record is from RefSeq and is a predicted model, not a curated record. Lineage: Eukaryota; Metazoa; Chordata; Mammalia; Artiodactyla; Balaenopteridae.
GAUGGUGCGGGCUGAGACGGCAAGAGGAUCCUUCAGUGCCUCUCCCCUUUCACUGGACCUUUCAUUGGGCUGGUUUGUAACGAGGUCCCAGCUUUCCCUCAGCUCCAGGCUUCCGUGGAAGCUACUAUGACUUUGAAUUAACCGACUCUGCAACGUUUAGGAAGCUGCAGGUGAAAGACAAAAGGACCUUGAGAACAGUAUGCAGAGGCAGCUCCGGUCCCUUUGCCAGGAGGACAGGUUAAUUAAUCACCGUAACUAUUCUUGGACCCAGGACAACUGAUGUUUGUUCUGUGGAUGCCGCUCCCUGGAAGCACAGGGGAGUGAACAAAGCUGGAUCACAGCAAAGUCUUCCCCAGACUUGGGAGCCCAACUUGAAGAGCCUGCCCUUGAACUCCUGCCUAUUGAAUUGAAAAGGACACACACUGGGUAGCUGCCACGUACAGACCUUGGGCCACAGAAUGAGAUGCAGGAAGCAGGCCUGACAAUGCCCUGUGGACUGGAGCAGAACUGCCCCAGCCAGCAUGCAGACCCCUGAGCAAGAAAAGCAAACACUUGUGGUGAUAAGAAGAUCAAAGCUUGGGGAAAUUUACUAGCAAUCUUACCGCUGGGGACACGGGUUCAACCCCUGGUCUGGGAGG